Molecule: ribosomal RNA, 253 nt
Filed under: uncultured bacterium
Lineage: Bacteria
Description: partial 16S ribosomal RNA
Rfam family: Bacterial small subunit ribosomal RNA
Source: RNAcentral
UACGUAGGGUGCAAGCGUUGUCCGGAAUUAUUGGGCGUAAAGAGCUCGUAGGCGGCCUGUCACGUCGACUGUGAAAACCCAGGGCUCAACCCUGGGCCUGCAGUCGAUACGGGCAGGCUAGAGUGUGGUAGGGGAGACUGGAAUUCCUGGUGUAGCGGUGAAAUGCGCAGAUAUCAGGAGGAACACCGGUGGCGAAGGCGGGUCUCUGGGCCAUAACUGACGCUGAGGAGCGAAAGCGUGGGGAGCGAACAGG